RNAcentral lists this long non-coding RNA (2699 nucleotides) under Volvox carteri. Its description in RNAcentral is "long non-coding RNA (VCAR_LNC001722)". The record is from RNAcentral. Lineage: Eukaryota; Viridiplantae; Chlorophyta; Chlorophyceae; Chlamydomonadales; Volvocaceae.
UUACAGAAAAUAGACGACUAGAAAGACUAGAGAAAGUCGAGGUCCAAAUCGCUUGACGAGUGAUGUUAGAUUGCCUUUAUCUUUGGUUUUGCCUACAAUAGGACGCCGUCUCUUAUAUAUGAAAAGACAACAACAACGGCGACGCGAGGAUCGACAUUGCGGGCCGACGGCAUCCAUGCAAGUAAGUGAAGCGCGCGGGCACCGCGCGGGUGGUUGGGUUGGUUCGGCCUUGAGUAGAGGCACCUGAACAGCGGGUUCUGUGGCUUGUCGGUGGGCGGGGUGAAUUCUAGUUGGGUUCGCGAGGCCCGUAGGUCAGUAGGAAAGGUGGUUUUAUCUCGGCCUCCCGCAGUUGGCGAAGCUUAAGAUGGGAGUCCGUUUUGCCGGGAGUAGCUCUUGGUUGACAAGUUGUUGCGAGGGGCUUGGUCGGCGCCCUUUGUCUUGAGUUCGCCUGAUUUACCCUGGUAUCCUCGCGAGUCGCCAGAUAGCCCGGUGCAGGAUACUUACCAACAUAACAGCUACCCUACGUGCGAAGGCGUAAGGAACAACGAGCAAAACAGGCAUACAGGAUGGCGUCAAGAAAUCUGCAAGCAAACGAAAGUUGAAGUCAAGACGCGCGGACGGACCCGGAGUCUUCGGACGUGUGGACGGGCUACAGCUACAUCAGAAAGCCGCCGCGGCGGUCCGCUAAGUGCGGCACAAAUGCAUGACACGCGGCUGCGGAAGGCAGUGCGCUUAGGAAGCCCACCGCGGCGGCACGCCGAAUUGAAGGUGUUGAUUUAGGAGCAUAUAGGCAGCGGCCGUGGAAGGCGGUGCGCUUGUAGAAAAGCCGCUACGGCGGUCCGCUAAGUGCGGCACAUAUGCAUGACACGCGGCUGCGGAAGGCAGUGCGCUUAGGAAGCCUGCCGUGGCGGCACGCCGAAUUGAAGGCGUUGAUUUAGGAACAUAUAGACAGCGGUCACAGAAGGCGGUGCGCUUGUAGAAAAGCCGCUGCGGCGGUCCGCUAAGUGUGGCACAAAUGCAUGACACGCGGCUGCGGAAGGCAGUGCGCUUAGGAAGCCCACCGCGGCGGCACGCCGAAUUGAAGGUGUUGAUUUAGGAGCAUAUAGGCAGCGGCCGUGGAAGGCGGUGCGCUUGUAGAAAAGCCGCUACGGUGGUCCGCUAAGUGCGGCACAUAUGCAUGACACGCGGCUGCGGAAGGCAGUGCGCUUAGGAAGCCUGCCGUGGCGGCACGCCGAAUUGAAGGCGUUGAUUUAGGAACAUAUAGGCAGCGGCCGUGGAAGGCGGUGCGCUUGUAGAAAAGCCGCUACGGCGGUCCGCUAAGUGCGGCACAUAUGCAUGACACGCGGCUGCGGAAGGCAGUGCGCUUAGGAAGCCUGCCGUGGCGGCACGCCGAAUUGAAGGCGUUGAUUUAGGAACAUAUAGACAGCGGUCGCAGAAGGCGGUGCGCUUGUAGAAAAGCCGCUGCGGCGGUCCGCUAAGUGCGGCACAAAUGCAUGACACGCGGCUGCGGAAGGCAGUGCGCUUAGGAAGCCCACCGCGGCGGCACGCCGAAUUGAAGGUGUUGAUUUAGGAGCAUAUAGGCAGCGGCCGUGGAAGGCGGUGCGCUUGUAGAAAAGCCGCUACGGCGGUCCGCUAAGUGCGGCACAUAUGCAUGACACGCGGCUGCGGAAGGCAGUGCGCUUAGGAAGCCUGCCGUGGCGGCACGCCGAAUUGAAGGUGUUGAUUUAGGAACAUAUAGACAGCGGUCGCAGAAGGCGGUGCGCUUGUAGAAAAGCCGCUGCGGCGGUCCGCUAAGUGCGGCACAAAUGCAUGACACGCGGCUGCGGAAGGCAGUGCGCUUAGGAAGCCCACCGCGGCGGCACGCUGAAUUGAAGGUGUUGAUUUAGGAGCAUAUAGGCAGCGGCCGUGGAAGGCGGUGCGCUUGUAGAAAAGCCGCUACGGUGGUCCGCUAAGUGCGGCACAUAUGCAUGACACGCGGCUGCGGAAGGCAGUGCGCUUAGGAAGCCUGCCGUGGCGGCACGCCGAAUUGAAGGUGUUGAUUUAGGAACAUAUAGACAGCGGUCGCAGAAGGCGGUGCGCUUGUAGAAAAGCCACUGCGGCGGUCCGCUAAGUGCAGCACAAAUGCAUGAUACGCGGCUGCGGAAGGCAGUGCGCUUAGGAAGCCCGCCGUGGCGGCACGCUGAAUUGAAGGCGUUGAUUUAGGAGCAUUUGGACAGCAGCCGCAGAAGGCGGUGCGCUUGUAGAAAAGCCGCUGUGGUGGUCUGCUAAGUGCGGCAUGAAGGACGCUAUGAAGUGGGAGACGGAACACCUGGCAAGGAUGCUGAAAUGUAUAUGGUCUCACCGCAACUCUAUUGUUCCCUUUGGCCGUAAGUAUACUUCAUCGCUUGUCUCGUUGGAAGUGCGAGGUAGGAUGGUGCUUAUAGGCGAUUUGGCAGCCCUUGAGCCCUCGGCUCGUACUAGAGUGGUUUGCAGGUACGGGGAACGCACCCACGACCAUGUAACAACAGCAAGUGCGGCACAAAAUGCAUGACAAGCGGCCGCGGAAGGCAGUGCGCUUAGGAAGCCCGCCGCGGCGGCACACCGAAUGGAAGGCAUUGGGAUUUACGAAUAUAUCGACAGCGGCCGCGGAAGGCGGUGCACCUGUAGAAAAGCCGCCGCGGCGGUCCGCUAAGGGCGGCACAAAAUGCAUGACACGCGGC